CAGCCGCCGCGGUAAUACGUAGGGUGCAAGCGUUAAUCGGAAUUACUGGGCGUAAAGCGUGCGCAGGCGGUUUUGUAAGACAGAGGUGAAAUCCCCGGGCUCAACCUGGGAACUGCCUUUGUGACUGCAAGGCUAGAGUACGGCAGAGGGGGAUGGAAUUCCGCGUGUAGCAGUGAAAUGCGUAGAUAUGCGGAGGAACACCGAUGGCGAAGGCAAUCCCCUGGGCCUGUACUGACGCUCAUGCACGAAAGCGUGGGGAGCAAACAGGAUUAGAUACCCCAGUAGUCCCUGUCUCUUAUAC
This 301-nucleotide ribosomal RNA is filed under the name uncultured bacterium. Its description in RNAcentral is "partial 16S ribosomal RNA". It matches the Rfam family "Bacterial small subunit ribosomal RNA", at positions 509 to 807 of the family's 1533-position model. The record is from RNAcentral.